CAUAAGCUCACUAAUGGGGUAGAAAUAGAUAGGAAUGGUCUGAUUGGAAGAAAACUAUACCGAAAACCCACUGUACUUUAGAAAAUAGCUCUGAGUGUCCACUUUCAAAAGAAUUAUAAAUUAUUAAUCAUGAUUCCCACAACACACCUCUGGAUUUUUAGGUGGAGUGUGGUGAAUCCAAGAUAAACCAAAAAAUCAUUCUUAUCCUCUUGAAGUCUCCUAGAAUGAUCCUGCUGGACUUCUGCACCUAUCAAGAUUUCACUAAUUUCCAGCUUAUAAGUGACACUUGCAUCGGUACGGAAGAUAUUCAUCGUCCUCGACGAACGGUUGA
This 331-nucleotide long non-coding RNA is filed under the name Ornithorhynchus anatinus (platypus). RNAcentral's name for it is "lncRNA (ENSOANG00000037671.1)". Lineage: Eukaryota; Metazoa; Chordata; Mammalia; Monotremata; Ornithorhynchidae. The record is from RNAcentral.